Mercenaria mercenaria is the source of this 2973-nucleotide RNA transcript. It is a transcript of the gene named PH domain-containing protein DDB_G0275795-like, with no coding region annotated. The transcript has 6 exons. NCBI's taxonomy places the organism in Eukaryota, Metazoa, Mollusca, Bivalvia, Venerida, Veneridae. The record is from RefSeq and is a predicted model, not a curated record.
GGAUACUAAUACAGUAUAUUUCUCACCAGACAACGAACUGGUUCUCCUGACCCAACAUAUAAAGCGAGUGGAUGCGACAUGCCUUCGAGAUUCUGACAUGAGAGUGUAUCAUAUUCACACAUCACUGCCUCAACUGAUGUUUCAGACCGAGUUGAAGAUACAGUUGAAGAUUUUUAUAGUGAAGAACAUAGUUGUUUUUAUCUUCAAGAGUGCAGAAUCUCCAGUAGAUGGUAUAGCAGCAUGAUGUUUGUCUUGAGGUCUGCUUCCAUCAAUGUUAGAGGAUGACGGAUGUGUAUAAUCGUGAUCAGAUGAUGUCACUUCAGAAGCAGAUGGUCCAGCAUAGUCAUGUUCUUGCGGUGCAAUAGUUCUGGAAGAUGAUGCAUGUGUAGAAUGGGUAUGCUCUGAGAUCUACACUCGACACGAUUAAACGGAUACUUGGCUGUGUUGUUCUUUAACAUCUCUGAGUGGGCAAUAAUGACAGCUGGAUUCACCUUAACUUUCCUAGCAAAAUCAUACAAGUUAAAUGUUCCAUGGUUAAUCGUUUCAACACAUAAACCCAUGAAACAUGGUUUACCGCCAAACAAAAGAACUAUUCCAUGGACUCCAUCUUAGAUCCUCGUCAAGAAGAAAAGAACUCUCAGACCGAUUUAAUUGUCCAACCAUUUUCAAAAAUAAACAAUGUUUUGAAUGCAACCUGUGUUCUUUCAUUGGGUUAUCUUGCUUUGUCCAUUUAUUCAGUCUUAGGGAACACGAAAAACACUGCACAAUAUCUCCUCUACCUGUAUAGUAAAAGCCAGCCGAUGACAGUUGGUACUUGUCUGGUUGCAUUUGUUCAGGCCAGGAUUCGAACGUUUCUAGUCUAUUUUCAUAAAAUUUUAGUUCUGGCGAUUGAAACUUUAGUUCUAUACAAUCCAUUAUGACUGUCCUGCUAGAAAUGAAGCUAAUAGCAAUACGCUUUCCUUUAUAUCACACAAAGAUUCGAACUGCUUUAUGUUUAAAGACAGCCGAGAUUUUCCUUUUCCUAAAAUAACUACUGUAUUAUUUCGCUUUCUCUUAACAACAAGAUAAUGUUUAUCAUCCAAUGUACAAAAGACUGAUUUUGAUAAUGGACACCACUUCACCAUUUCAAAGCCACACUCCCUUAAAUAAGCCGACGAAUCUUCUGUAAAUAGCAGCUGCGCUUGUGCCAUAUUUAAAAAUCUGUUUUAAAAAUAACAGUGACUUUAUUCCUCUUCGGUCUGUGUAAUGUAGUCCCUUAUUUCUGCCGCUAUAGUUUGAUAAAUAUAAUGAUCCCUAAGUAUUCUUACAAGCAAUGAAUGAUAUCUUAGUAAAAGAUUCUUUUUCCUUCGUCUGUUAGCUUGGCGGGAAGCUAAAGUCCUGAUGAGUUGUCUGUAGUAUUCGAAUAUAAGGAAGUCUCGGUAUAAGAUGAUAACAGAUUGUUUGUAUAGUCUUCUCACAAUUUCACCAAUGGUAUCUAUUUGUCUCGAACUUAAAUUUUGAAUUAACUGACGUUGAGUUUGUCGAUUAGAAUGUCCUAAGGUUGUUAAAUAGUUUAAUUCUUGAAACACUAUGGAUCAGUUCGUGGUAUGUUACUCCCUAACUAUAAAUUAUACUGAUGGUAUUCGUUCCACCAACAGUGUCUACAAUGAAUGCACUCCCAACCUGUAUCAAGCUGUGGGUGUCCUUGUCUGAAGUAUGAUCUAGUGAUUAUACGAUGUACUGUUUUCAGAGAACAAGUACAACAGUAUUUACAAGAAAGUAAAGUUUUAUUACAAAAGUUUAUUUCAAAAGUCAUAAGCACAUUUAUGACUUUUCCUAUACAAGUUACAAAAACAUAGUAGAGAAUUACUGUCUAGGUAUAAAAUCUUCAAAGUCACUAACUUGAUAUUCCGUUAUUGUAUGUGUAAAACAACAAAGAUCAUCCCACCAAUGGCGUAGCAUUGUAUAUCUGCGGGCUACCGCAUUAAACCCUGAUGGAUAAUGCCUGAGUAGGCCGAUCAUAUAAUGUCGUGUCCAUCGAACAUUAUAGUCAAUGUCCUGUACUUCAUCAUCCACCCAAGGAUACAAUUCAUAAUCAUUCAUCCAAAAGGAUUCAAAAUUGGUGACUUCAUCAUGUGUUCUCAAAUCCAUUUUUUGUAAAAGUUAAGGAAAAAAUAUUUCUCUUGUAAAAUUUUGUCUAGAGUACUAGUAUUUUAGUAUUCAUAACGAAAAAGUUCACUUCCAAAAUCGUCUUCUAGUUCCCCAUCGAUUAAACUAUCGUAGUUUAAAAAUAAUGUCUCACAGUUCCAAUAAGGUACAAUAUAUCUAAACAUAAAUUCAAUCUGAUUCCAACGUUCUAAAAGGGGUGAAUUAUUAACGUUUAAGUUUUCAGUCAACCAGUUUAAAGCGGAAUAAACCACGACAUUCAUAUGUCUCAAUGGUCGAUUAAUUAGAUUGGAAACCAAAGUGGCUUCAUGAUCCAUAAAAUUUGUAACUGACAUUUUUCGCCAUAAUGAUUUUUAAAUCUGUUAAAACCGGGUUUAAACACUCGCUAGAGUAAAAGGUUUAUUGUAAUAGCGCGUCUACCUUUCACCCAUAACGUUUUAUCAGUUUAAACAUCUCGCAGUAAAGACAAGUUGUAUGCUCAAAUUGAAUUAUUUAAAAAUGAUCGCUGCGACUUUUCAAAAUUUUAAAUUGUCCGCCAAAAUCUAUGGAAGCAAAUGAGCGCUAACAUUGCGCGGAAACCAGCGUGACCGUCUCUAAUAAUCCACCUUAAUCCACCAAACAAGAUCGCCGCCGCCUAUAUAAACUAUAUGUAAUCCACCAUCCAAGAUGGCCACCGCCUAUAUAAACUAUAUGUAAUCCACCAUCCAAGAUGGCCGCUGUCUAUAUAAACUAUAUGUAAUCCACCAUCCAAGAUGGCCGCUGUCUAUAUAAACUAUAUGUAAUCCACCAUCCAAGAUGUCCGCGAAAAUCCCCUUUUCCCUCUACUCC